CAGGUUGGAUAUCAGGGAUGGUCAGGUUGGAUAUCAGGGAUGGUCAGGUUGGAUAGCAGGGAUGGUCAGGUUGGAUAGCAGGGAUGGUCAGGUUGGAUAUCACGGAUGGUCAGGUUGGAUAUCAGGGAUGAUCAGGUUGGAUAUCACGGAUGGUCAGGUUGGAUAUCAGGGAUGGUCAGGUUGGAUAUCAGGGAUGGUCAGGUUGGAUAUCAGGGAUGGUCAGGUUGGAUAUCAGGGAUGGUCAGGUUGGAUAUCAGGGAUGGUCAGGUUGGAUAUCAGGGAUGGUCAGGUUGGAUAUCAGGGAUGGUCAGGUUGGAUAUCAGGGAUG
Molecule: non-coding RNA, 328 nt
Organism: Salmo salar (Atlantic salmon)
Lineage: Eukaryota; Metazoa; Chordata; Actinopteri; Salmoniformes; Salmonidae
Source: RefSeq, a predicted model, not a curated record